GAGAAAAACAAGAGAGGGAAACCCCAAUUCACCAACCAAUACCGGGUUUGCCAACGCUGAAAGUAAUAUUGUUUUCUUCUUAAUCUCCGAACCACACGGCGAGGCUUUGUAAGCAGCAUCCAGCUAAUGACUCUGCUUCUAGACAACAACUCUAGCCGCCCGCUUCUUUCUUUCCCCCCACCCACCCCGUGGCACGGGUGACUUUAAUUGCUUCUUCUUAGGGGCUGUUUUGGGGGUGUGGAGUGUGGUCCUGUGUGCCCAGCACAGCCCGUCGGACGCGGCCCGAGCCCCGUGUCUCCCGCGCGUCUCGCGGGCCCUGCCCACGCCUGAAGACUGAACCAAGAGCCUCACAACUGUUAGGCAGCUCCUGAAAUUGAGUUUAAUGCACAUAUGCUGACUAUAUCCAUCCAAUCAUAAAUAAAAUUAUGUAGCAAAAGUCAAGUAUUUGAGCAGAAGUGAACUAUUUCUUCAGUAAUUUAACAUUCAUAUGUUGCUGACUUACUUUGCUAGGACAGGUUAUCAUACAAGUGACACAGGAAGUGAUUUUAUCUUUGAGUGUCUUCUGAAGCCCUACCCACCUGUAGUUUUAGAGACUACAUCUAUAUUUUUUUCUAUGAUCUUUAUAAAACAGUAUGCCUUGGAUUAUUCUGAAAUAACGAAAUCUUGUAGCAGGGUUAUACACAAUUAUUUUGCCAUGUUAUACCUAUAGUUUUGUUUACUGGAUCUGCUCUUUCUUUGCAUAGUAAAUGUAAGAAAAUAUGAGGCAAAAUACAAGACAGACCAAUUCUUUAGGUACACAGAAGUAAUGUGGAAAAUAAAAGAAAAAACAACAGGCAAGAGUAUGGGGGCAAAAGUCAAAGUCAUCUGUUAAUGAUCAAUGUAGAUGGGGUGAUUUAGUCCAAAGUGUCUCCAGAAUUCUAUGACUUAAAAUAUAAUUUGAGAUUCUAAAUUACCUCUUGAAUAAGUACAUAAAAUAAUAAAAUCCCUUUCUCCCAGCCUAAUGUUUUACUUCAUUAAAAAUAAUAGAUGUAUACAAAAGAAGAGCAGCUUGCUGUCCCUGUGUAAGUCACUCUGACACUUUGUAAGACACCACCUUCAAGCUCUUCCCAGCCAGGAGGAGGACAUGACGGGCCAGCUGACAAGCUUGACGAAGCCCUUGAAUCUGAUCUUCAUUCUUCACUUCGAUGCUGUCUCCCCACUUGGGUACAAUGCCUGUCGUCACAUAGUCUGGCUUCUUUAUGUGCUUGAGGAAAAAGGAUUGAAAACGAAGAUCAGAACCCAGCACACGACAAUGGGAUCAUUUUUUCAGACACAGCCUCCUGCUUCAUGGAGCUCUGCCCUUCCUGCGGGAGCACCGACCUCCGAAGCCAGCACAACAGACCCUCCAGGCUACCCCCUGUUCCUUCCCCUGCCCUUUUGAACUUAACAUUGCCUGGUAGUGCUGCCUCUGGAUGGUCUGUUAACCUCACCAUGCUUUGAGUCAAACUCGACUGAAGUAGACUUCUGGUCAAAACAAACAGUAGUUUUCUUUUCUUACUCCACCCAAGCCCUCUGGAAGCAGAGCACCCUGGAUGAAAACGAGCUCCAAGCUUCCAGUCUGCCAAAUAGUUAAUUAAGUAGCACUCUCGUCUUUGUAACACAAAGAUAAAAUUUAUGCAAAGGAUAGCUCUCAACACCCUCUCCCAAAAGAACAUAUGUGAAAAGGCUGUCAAGUCCACAGAGCCCUUUUACACACACCCUUUUCUUAUACUUGGCAACUUUAAAACUGAGUGCUAGAGGAUGAAACAAAACAACUUUCUUUCCUUUUAUCUCCUCCAAGGACAACAAAAUUACCUAGAAGGGUUCCAUCAUUUAUCAAGAACAAACAAAAAGUGUCCUCCCUCAAACACAAAACAUUCAACCCUGAUCACUCCUUGGGGACCACCCUCCACCACUUAAACCCACUGGCAGUAUUCAGAAGAUAAUACUAUCUUACACACAGAACUUCAUUGCACAGCCCUUAACAAGUUAUUUCCAGCAACUGUACCAUAAGCAUUGUUGAACAGAGCACAGGAAGCAGUUUGGGACAGGAAGCAGAGGGAGACCACAUCAUUCAACAGCAACAUUGCCCAGCUCUAGAAGGGCAGAGGUUGGGGCUCCUGACUUUGUGAAGAGUACUGGGCCAUAUCUUAGGGACUUCUCUAACUCUUCUGUCAGACAGGUUUUUAUGAUACAGGUAACUGAAUGGCCUGGUUCACGACAGCUGAGCUUUGAAGGAUCAUCUCUACUCUAGCAGUCACCCCAAUAAAGUCCACACCUCACCAGGUCUCCCCUAUAUAAACUUAUGUUCUGUCUCCACUCUGCUCUGUGUUCUGUUGAGGUUACAACUAUAGGCAGAAGAGCUGUUGGGUUGUUACUGUAAACUGACUGGAAUGUAUAAAACAAUACAGUCCCCUAUCCAGAGAUUUAUGUUUUGUUUUACUAAGGAAAAAUAAUGUCAAUUGUGGACUAAUACCUACUUCUCACUGUGGUGGCCAGGCCUUAGCCAAGGCAGGAAUGCGUUAGCCUUUCUGUCUUAUCAGCCUUUUCCACAGGAACACCACUCACCUUUAAGAGGUAUAACAUACUUAUGUGGUUCACUGUAAAGAAAAAUGUGUAAAGGGAGAAACCAGGUGAUUCUGUGACAAAUAUAUAUUUCUUUGAGCUAUUUUCCUUCUUCCUAAAUGACCCCCAUACCUCCUUUAUAUUGUAUUUUGAAAAGUGACGAGAUUGUCUUUCCACAAAACUGUAAUCUCUGAAAAAAAAUCAAGAAUGCUCUGAGACUAGACAUUUUACUUAAUUUACUCUAAAGGACGAUUCAAAGACAGCAGCACUAAUAACAUGGGAAGCCUAAGGGCAGGCUUAAAAAAAAAAACAAAACAGUGUGUGAGUUUCAAGAAAU
Molecule: long non-coding RNA, 2920 nt
Organism: Jaculus jaculus (lesser Egyptian jerboa)
Lineage: Eukaryota; Metazoa; Chordata; Mammalia; Rodentia; Dipodidae
Exons: 2
Source: RefSeq, a predicted model, not a curated record